UUGUCUAAAUACAUCCAUCGUUUAUUUAGAUAAUCAUGGUAAGACCUUAAGUACAGACUACAUUAUUUACACUUCAUAUAUUCUUUUUGCAAUCAGUACAAAUUGUAUGGUCUUUUAUUUCAGAUGAAUCCAUUCCACAAGCAAGAAAGCAUUUCAGGACAGAGCCCAUGAGGACCUCCAUUACCCGCAUGGCACAGCGGAUGGACACAUUUGAGGAAAAGAUGGAUGAGCUGCUCAUGCUCUUAAGGAGCUCCCAGUCACCUCCCUCUGCUCCAGUCGAUGACGUGUUGCUGUCGCCCUGCUCAACAGUCAUCGAGCUGCAGGAGUUCAACAGGAGAGGAGGAACAAAAUGCAACUUUUUCUGACAACCUUUCAACCAAUGACGUUGUAAAACCGUAUAGCCUGCAGGGCAGAAAGACAAAGGCCUUCCAGGGCCUGACAAUCUGCAGGGUUAUAACAGGCAGGUGUUAUUUUAUUGUUCACAUCAGUAUUAUGCGUAGCUUGGCUGAUA
Molecule: long non-coding RNA, 511 nt
Organism: Perca fluviatilis (European perch)
Lineage: Eukaryota; Metazoa; Chordata; Actinopteri; Perciformes; Percidae
Exons: 3
Source: RefSeq, a predicted model, not a curated record